UACGUAGGGUGCAAGCGUUGUCCGGAAUUAUUGGGCGUAAAGAGCUCGUAGGCGGUUUGUCGCGUCUGGUGUGAAAACUCAAGGCUCAACCUUGAGCUUGCAUCGGGUACGGGCAGACUAGAGUGUGGUAGGGGUGACUGGAAUUCCUGGUGUAGCGGUGGAAUGCGCAGAUAUCAGGAGGAACACCGAUGGCGAAGGCAGGUCUCUGGGCAUUAACUGACGCUGAGGAGCGAAAGCAUGGGGAGCGAACAGG
This 253-nucleotide ribosomal RNA is filed under the name uncultured bacterium. Its description in RNAcentral is "partial 16S ribosomal RNA". It matches the Rfam family "Bacterial small subunit ribosomal RNA", at positions 524 to 776 of the family's 1533-position model. The record is from RNAcentral.